Molecule: long non-coding RNA, 318 nt
Organism: Conger conger (European conger)
Lineage: Eukaryota; Metazoa; Chordata; Actinopteri; Anguilliformes; Congridae
Exons: 3
Source: RefSeq, a predicted model, not a curated record
CUUCUAUACAGUUCACCGAGAAAUUAGAUGAGGCACUCCGUAUUAUAUGGGCCAAACACUGGUAUGUGUAACAGCAAUCGGAGGAUAUUGUUAUGUCAGCUCCCACCUGGCCAGGAACAUCCACUGCUGUUCUUUGUCCAAUGAUAAGGACCAUAGUGGUGUUGCUCCGGUUGGUGAUGUCACUUCCUGUCUUGGUUCUCCACAGCACAGUGGGCUGAGGGAAGCCCAGGGUGGAGAGGAAGUCACACCUAUAUCUCCACCUGCCUGACAGACAUCCAGAUCUGGAUGGACAGCCACCAUCUAAAGCUCGACCCAGGU